This is a non-coding RNA of Cinara cedri, 437 nucleotides long. The record is from the annotation of a GenBank genome assembly. NCBI's taxonomy places the organism in Eukaryota, Metazoa, Arthropoda, Insecta, Hemiptera, Aphididae.
AGGGGUGUCAUUUGUGGUGAUCAAAGCAUCUAUACUGUUUCCUUCCUAUUUUUUGGUUCGGAGCGUACCGAAUUUUUUUCAGAGUAUGCAACUCUGUGUACCAUAGUAAUCCGUGGUGAACUUCGCUUAAUAUCAUAGACCUUAUAUUAUAAUAGUAAAACUUUUUGUUGUAGUGAAAAAACACACAUUUUGAAAAAAAAAUUCUAAAAAAUCGCCUGGGCCCUAAGGUAGAAUCGUUCCGUUUACUGAAAUGAUUUAACAAAAUUUGUUCCAUUAUUUGUCCACUCCAGAAUCCGGUCGACGAGAGAACGCUACUGGGCAGUGACCAAAACUUCCGUUCUCGCGUAUUCCUACAGCAAGUAGGUAGUAGAGUGGGAAAAAUUUGGACACGAAACCGCGGAAAGCUCGUUCAAUUAGAUGCGUAGAGUAGCGUUCUC